AACGAACGCUGGCGGCAUGCCUAACACAUGCAAGUCGAACGAGCCCUUCGGGGUUAGUGGCGCACGGGUGCGUAACGCGUGGGAAUCUGCCCUUGGGUUCGGAAUAACAGUGAGAAAUUACUGCUAAUACCGGAUGAUGUCUUCGGACCAAAGAUUUAUCGCCCAAGGAUGAGCCCGCGUAGGAUUAGCUAGUUGGUGGGGUAAUGGCCUACCAAGGCGACGAUCCUUAGCUGGUCUGAGAGGAUGAUCAGCCACACUGGGACUGAGACACGGCCCAGACUCCUACGGGAGGCAGCAGUGGGGAAUAUUGGACAAUGGGCGAAAGCCUGAUCCAGCAAUGCCGCGUGAGUGAUGAAGGCCUUAGGGUUGUAAAGCUCUCUUACCCGGGAUGAUAAUGACAGUACCGGGAGAAUAAGCUCCGGCUAACUCCGUG
Molecule: ribosomal RNA, 433 nt
Filed under: uncultured bacterium
Lineage: Bacteria
Description: partial 16S ribosomal RNA
Rfam family: Bacterial small subunit ribosomal RNA
Source: RNAcentral